CCUUUUGUAUAAUGGGUCAGCGACUUAUAUUCUGUAGCAAGGUUAACCGAAUAGGGGAGCCGAAGGGAAACCGAGUCUUAACUGGGCGUUAAGUUGCAGGGUAUAGACCCGAAACCCGGUGAUCUAGCCAUGGGCAGGUUGAAGGUUGGGUAACACUAACUGGAGGACCGAACCGACUAAUGUUGAAAAAUUAGCGGAUGACUUGUGGCUGGGGGUGAAAGGCCAAUCAAACCGGGAGAUAGCUGGUUCUCCCCGAAAGCUAUUUAGGUAGCGCCUCGUGAAUUCAUCUCCGGGGGUAGAGCACUGUUUCGGCAAGGGGGUCAUCCCGACUUACCAACCCGAUGCAAACUGCGAAUACCGGAGAAUGUUAUCACGGGAGACACACGGCGGGUGCUAACGUCCGUCGUGAAGAGGGAAACAACCCAGACCGCCAGCUAAGGUCCCAAAGUCAUGGUUAAGUGGGAAACGAUGUGGGAAGGCCCAGACAGCCAGGAUGUUGGCUUAGAAGCAGCCAUCAUUUAAAGAAAGCGUAAUAGCUCACUGGUCGAGUCGGCCUGCGCGGAAGAUGUAACGGGGCUAAACCAUGCACCGAAGCUGCGGCAGCGACGCUGAUGCGUUGUUGGGUAGGGGAGCGUUCUGUAAGCCUGCGAAGGUGUGCUGUGAGGCAUGCUGGAGGUAUCAGAAGUGCGAAUGCUGACAUAAGUAACGAUAAAGCGGGUGAAAAGCCCGCUCGCCGGAAGACCAAGGGUUCCUGUCCAACGUUAAUCGGGGCAGGGUGAGUCGACCCCUAAGGCGAGGCCGAAAGGCGUAGUCGAUGGGAAACAGGUUAAUAUUCCUGUACUUGGUGUUACUGCGAAGGGGGGACGGAGAAGGCUAUGUUGGCCGGGCGACGGUUGUCCCGGUUUAAGCGUGUAGGCUGGUUUUCCAGGCAAAUCCGGAAAAUCAAGGCUGAGGCGUGAUGACGAGGCACUACGGUGCUGAAGCAACAAAUGCCCUGCUUCCAGGAAAAGCCUCUAAGCAUCAGGUAACAUCAAAUCGUACCCCAAACCGACACAGGUGGUCAGGUAGAGAAUACCAAGGCGCUUGAGAGAACUCGGGUGAAGGAACUAGGCAAAAUGGUGCCGUAACUUCGGGAGAAGGCACGCUGAUAUGUAGGUGAAGUCCCUUGCGGAUGGAGCUGAAAUCAGUCGAAGAUACCAGCUGGCUGCAACUGUUUAUUAAAAACACAGCACUGUGCAAACACGAAAGUGGACGUAUACGGUGUGACGCCUGCCCGGUGCCGGAAGGUUAAUUGAUGGGGUCAGCGCAAGCGAAGCUCUUGAUCGAAGCCCCGGUAAACGGCGGCCGUAACUAUAACGGUCCUAAGGUAGCGAAAUUCCUUGUCGGGUAAGUUCCGACCUGCACGAAUGGCGUAAUGAUGGCCAGGCUGUCUCCACCCGAGACUCAGUGAAAUUGAACUCGCUGUGAAGAUGCAGUGUACCCGCGGCAAGACGGAAAGACCCCGUGAACCUUUACUAUAGCUUGACACUGAACAUUGAGCCUUGAUGUGUAGGAUAGGUGGGAGGCUUGGAAGUGUGGACGCCAGUCUGCAUGGAGCCGACCUUGAAAUACCACCCUUUAAUGUUUGAUGUUCUAACGUUGACCCGUAAUCCGGGUUGCGGACAGUGUCUGGUGGGUAGUUUGACUGGGGCGGUCUCCUCCUAAAGAGUAACGGAGGAGCACGAAGGUUGGCUAAUCCUGGUCGGACAUCAGGAGGUUAGUGCAAUGGCAUAAGCCAGCUUGACUGCGAGCGUGACGGCGCGAGCAGGUGCGAAAGCAGGUCAUAGUGAUCCGGUGGUUCUGAAUGGAAGGGCCAUCGCUCAACGGAUAAAAGGUACUCCGGGGAUAACAGGCUGAUACCGCCCAAGAGUUCAUAUCGACGGCGGUGUUUGGCACCUCGAUGUCGGCUCAUCACAUCCUGGGGCUGAAGUAGGUCCCAAGGGUAUGGCUGUUCGCCAUUUAAAGUGGUACGCGAGCUGGGUUUAGAACGUCGUGAGACAGUUCGGUCCCUAUCUGCCGUGGGCGCUGGAGAACUGAGGGGGGCUGCUCCUAGUACGAGAGGACCGGAGUGGACGCAUCACUGGUGUUCGGGUUGUCAUGCCAAUGGCACUGCCCGGUAGCUAAAUGCGGAAGAGAUAAGUGCUGAAAGCAUCUAAGCACGAAACUUGCCCCGAGAUGAGUUCUCCCUGACCCUUUAAGGGUCCUGAAGGAACGUUGAAGACGACGACGUUGAUAGGCCGGGUGUGUAAGCGCAGCGAUGCGUUGAGCUAACCGGUACUAAUGAACCGUGAGGCUUAACCUUACAAC
Molecule: ribosomal RNA, 2346 nt
Filed under: Escherichia coli
Lineage: Bacteria; Pseudomonadati; Pseudomonadota; Gammaproteobacteria; Enterobacterales; Enterobacteriaceae
Description: partial 23S ribosomal RNA
Rfam family: Bacterial large subunit ribosomal RNA
Source: RNAcentral